Non-coding RNA from Phalacrocorax carbo (great cormorant), 2676 nucleotides. The record is from RefSeq and is a predicted model, not a curated record. Lineage: Eukaryota; Metazoa; Chordata; Aves; Suliformes; Phalacrocoracidae.
CCGAGCCCGCCGCCGGGGAGCCGAGCCGGGGCCGGGCCCUCUCCACCGAGCCCCGGCAAGGGGCGGAGGCGGGCAGGGAGCGGGGGGUCCCUCACUCCCGGCUGGGGAGGGGAGGGGCCGGCUCUCCCCUCGGCCGCUGCCGGCACGGACGCCGCGGAAACGCCCCGGGACCGCGCCGCCGAUAGCGAUCGGCCCCGGAGGACAGCGGCGAAGGAGAGAAAGAGAAGGGAGGAAGGGCGGGGAAGAGGAGAGAGGAUGCCCCGGCUCGGCGGCGGUCGCCGUGUCUCCCGGCUCGGCGGCGUCUGUCUCCGCUCGCCUGCCCUGAGCCGAGCGAAGCCGCCGCUGCCGCCUUUCUCCGCCCCGGUAUCGCCCUCCCCUCGCUCGCUCCCUCACACACCGUCCCGUGCGCGCCCCCGCCCGGCCGCCCGCCUUUCACCGGGGGCGCGCGCGUGUGCGCGUGCGUGAGCGCGCGCGCUCCCGCCGGCCGUCACCUCAGGAGGGCGCCCCCUCCCCUUCCCGCACCGGGGAGGGGUGCGGGGGGGGGGGUCCGGGCAGUGCGCGGUGCUCCAGGUAGCUGGAAAAAGGGGAAAUACCCUUUUAGUGUACCUGGCAAAGGAUUUCAAGUUCCUCUUUGCUGAGGGAGUUCAGACGAGAGGGUUUUGCUGAUGAAGCUCUGAUCAGCUGGGUUAUUUGAAGAAGGAGAUCCCUUGGAGGCCUUGGCUACAUUAAGCAAUUAAAUUAUUGUUUUUAUCCAGCAGCAUAGCUCCCGUGGCUAUUGCAAUGGGAAGUAAAACAGCUGCUGUAAAGCCCAGCAAGUGACAUGAUUCCUGUGAACAGUUGUAAAAAGAAUUUGGAGAUAUUUAUGAAUGGAAAGCAUUAUACGCAUAAAAUACAUUGUAAACAGGACCGUGUGUCUGAGCUAUCAUCAAGUCAUCUUCUAUUUAAGGUACUGCAUAAAGUUGCUCAAAACCAUUAAAUGAAAUUUUCCUCUGUAUUCUUUCUGGUAUUUUUAUCGUUUGCAUAGUGAGAAGACAGAAUCCUAUUUGAGGAGUUUCCAGUUCAGCCCAGUAUUCCUGUUGGUAGUCCCACUGAAGCCGGUGGCAAAGUUAGAUUUAACUCUGUAAAUGGUCGCAUGCUUGAUAAAUAAUAGUGUGAGAGAAGCAAAGGAAUGGGGAACAAAAACUGCUUUACUUGCAAGUGCUAAUGAAAAAUGGUUUUUACUUCUUUCCUUACUGAACAAUGUUCUUUUCUUUUUUAAGGUGCUUAAGGUAACUAAGCUACUGUAAGCCAUGAUUGUGAUUGUUUGUUCAGCACUCAAAGUAUAAUACACUUUUUACAGAACAAAUAAGAUAAAUGCCCUUCCCUGUAGAGCUUGCAAGCUGAAUUUUGUCACAGGUGAGAGCAACAACCAGAAGAGAGAUCCAUAAAGAAGAAACACAGAUAUACAUGGAGACCUUUGCAAUCCUCUCUGUUCCCCGAGACAUCAAGAAGUGCAGAGCCCAUGUGGUUACCUGCCGCAAGGGGGUCGUGUCUGUGCAGCUUCUCUCAUUAAUCAUAUUGGCGUAUGUCUGCCCCUGGGGGAUCUGAUGGUUAUAAGCAACAACAACAUACAGGAUCCCUUUAUUUCUGCUCCUGGGCUAGUGCAGUUCAUGCAAACAGUUCUCUUGCAUAGGGAAGGUUUGCGUGAAGGUAGGGUCACGCUCUGCUGGUCUCCUGGCCGCUCGCCAGCUGCCCAUAUGGUUGCCAGAAUGCAGCAUUAAUUUUCUGAGGCAGCAUGCACCUGAUGUAUAGUGCCAUGCCAUAUAAAUCAGCACGCUAUUGGAAGCUAUAAAUUCAUAGAUAAGACUGAAAUUAUUAAAGUAACCCUUCUCACGGCUUCCCAAGCGUGCCUAAGUUUCUAGAGCAGAAGUAUCGGAGCUGUAAUUCUGCAUAACGCAAUGCGAAAGCUUACUUUAGAGCAACUAACACUGCAAACCUGGGUCAUCAAACUGCCAUCCUUACAUAGACAACACACCUGCUGAGGUAAAUAAAUUAGCCGGAAUAAGGGUUGCAGCUUUGGACACUGUAAACACAUGUGAGUCAGGGAGGGGAAAGAAGUUUUUUCAUUGCACCAUUAUCUCGCCCGCAUGAGUUGCACACACUGUACAUCAAAGUAUCAAUUUCGUAGCCUAAUUGGUAAACAAACAGUAUGUGUAGGCUACGUGGGCAAGUUCAUGCUGCAUGAAAAGUCUUUACGUUUAGGUCUCACUUUUCUUCCUGUGUGAAUGUAGGAGCUUAUAUUUAAUAACCUUGACCUCUUUAAACAAUAAGGAGGAGGGGGGAGUAGAGGGGAAAAACUGGGCAAGUGUGGCAAGUUAUGUAAUUGUGUUUUGGAAGUCUUUAGGUUUUCAGUUCAAUUACCCUCGCUCUAUUUUUAGGGAGAGGGAGGCACAAAACUGUAUAAAUGGCAGCUGUGUCAAUAAAUGUAUCUUACUUUUGGUUUAUGUAUGGAUGAAUUACAAAACCUGUCAAGAAAAUCCCUUUAAGGAAGAUGCUUAAUUUGUAUUAGGUAUGGAAGAUCUUUCAAAGUAAUUUAUCGAUAAACGCUUCUUGGGUUAAGACCCCUCCAGUUAUAUUUGUACUAAUAAGCUAAAGAAUGUAAGGGCCUUUCUCUAGCCCUACAGCCAGCUGAACUAG